RNAcentral lists this ribosomal RNA (465 nucleotides) under Vreelandella stevensii. RNAcentral describes it as "partial 16S ribosomal RNA". It matches the Rfam family "Bacterial small subunit ribosomal RNA", at positions 338 to 795 of the family's 1533-position model. Lineage: Bacteria; Pseudomonadati; Pseudomonadota; Gammaproteobacteria; Oceanospirillales; Halomonadaceae. The record is from RNAcentral.
CCUACGGGUGGCAGCAGUGGGGAAUAUUGGACAAUGGGGGCAACCCUGAUCCAGCCAUGCCGCGUGUGUGAAGAAGGCCCUCGGGUUGUAAAGCACUUUCAGUGAGGAAGAACGCCUGGUGGUUAAUACCCAUCAGGAAAGACAUCACUCACAGAAGAAGCACCGGCUAACUCCGUGCCAGCAGCCGCGGUAAUACGGAGGGUGCGAGCGUUAAUCGGAAUUACUGGGCGUAAAGCGCGCGUAGGUGGCUUGAUAAGCCGGUUGUGAAAGCCCCGGGCUCAACCUGGGAACGGCAUCGGGAACUGUCAAGCUAGAGUGCAGGAGAGGAAGGUAGAAUUCCCGGUGUAGCGGUGAAAUGCGUAGAGAUCGGGAGGAAUACCAGUGGCGAAGGCGGCCUUCUGGACUGACACUGACACUGAGGUGCGAAAGCGUGGGUAGCAAACAGGAUUAGAUACCCUGGUAGUC